Molecule: long non-coding RNA, 677 nt
Filed under: Ananas comosus (pineapple)
Lineage: Eukaryota; Viridiplantae; Streptophyta; Magnoliopsida; Poales; Bromeliaceae
Description: long non-coding RNA (ACOM_LNC001263)
Source: RNAcentral
AACAUGACAAUAUUGGAAAAAAAAUUAGUAUAUACCAAAUUUGUCAGCAUACUUUAAAUAUUAAAUAUUUUAUUUACUUUGAUAACUUACCAAAUUAGAUGAUAUCCAAUUUAUUAAGUAUCCAGCUCAAAAAAAUAUUGAAUUUAAAUUUAAUUUUUGAAAUUGGUAUUGUAAUGUAAAAUUUUAAUUUUGAAAUUUAUAUUAAACUUUUAAAUUUGAAUCUAAAUUGAACGUUUAAUCUUAAAGCCAACUUUUGAAUUUUGAUUUAAAUUGAAAUUUUGAAUUGGAACUAAAAGUUUUAUUUCAAAAUUUGUGUUUUAUAUUCAAAAAAUUGAAUUUGAUUUAUAAAGUUUUAAAUGUUGUUUUGAAUUUAAAUUUACAGUUUGGUUGUAAUUUGAAAUUCAACUAUUGUUGUAGGUAUUUAAGAGGGUCACAAUAUUUUUAGUUGGAUAAAACCGGUUUUGUGGACCAAACUAUUUUACAAAGACUAGAAGUCAGGCUCAAGAAUAACGGAUAGGCUAAAUCCUUUCAAUAAUGCAUCAUUUUAUAUUUUUAAUUUGAAUAUGAUUCAUUAGUAAAAAAAAUCAAAUUUAGUAAAGAUAAUUAUGCAAAGAUGGAAUAUUGAAGGAGAAAGACGGAAUAUUUUGUAUUUACAAGGAUUGUAUGUUAUGAUGCUG